CUGUUGAUGUGAAAGUAGAGGCCCUAGUCGGGAGCUAAUAUAAGACGGGCUCGUACGAAUAUCUUGCGCUUUGUCCCUCUCCUCCCUCGCAUUUUCAGUGCCUGAUGUACUCAUGCCAAACCCCUUUAAAUUUGCUCGUUAUUGAUAUCGCAAUGAAUUUCUCCAAAGCAUUCCCACUUUUUAUUCCUCAUGACUAAUAACCUUUCUCCAUGCUCCCAGCUAGAGUGGCCUCGCCUAAGAGAAUGCAUUCUUGGGCGAUGACUAAUUGGUACCUUUGUCCAACGAGCCAGAGAUAGGGAUAUCUGUCAUAAAGCCUUCGAGAAUGGGCAUCUUUUCUUUCUGGACUGCAAGAAGUUGCAGGCUGUCAUCUAAUCUGUUGUUGAUAAUCAUCAGGUGUCUUGUAAAUUGGAAGGGGAUAGUGAUAUGUCUGUUGUAGAUCAGUAGAAGCACUUAAACUGAAUUUGAGAGUCAUACAGUUUACUCCAUCAAGGGGUGGAUUUCCAUUUGUGUAUAGAGCGAGAUAUCAAUUGUUCAUAUAAAUGAUGACAUAGCACUGCAUUUAUCACUGUACUUCACACUCUUUCUGAAGAGAGUCUCUCUCUGUCUGCACCUCUUUUUAGAUGAUGCUUGAUAACCUUUGUAUGUUUUACAAAUU
RNAcentral lists this small RNA (655 nucleotides) under Histoplasma capsulatum var. duboisii H88. RNAcentral's name for it is "Histoplasma capsulatum H88 hypothetical RNA". The record is from RNAcentral. Lineage: Eukaryota; Fungi; Ascomycota; Eurotiomycetes; Onygenales; Ajellomycetaceae.